AGUUGAAAACCUGAAAAGGCAACUUAGGCAAAAAUGGGUAUCCCGAUGGAUUGAAAACCCGAAAGGGCGAUCCAGGCAAAAGUUAGGGAUUAAGCGAAUGACUGCGUAAAAGAUUGUACACCCGGUAAGUUGAAAACCUGAAAAGGCAACUUAGGCAAAAAUGGGUAUCCCGAUGGAUUGAAAACCCGAAAGGGCGAUCCAGGCAAAAGUUAGGGAUUAAGCGAAUGACUGCGUUUUGAGUAGUUCUGAAUCUCAUCCUGUGUCGAUAACUGGAAACUUUCAAA
This 284-nucleotide long non-coding RNA is filed under the name Lathyrus oleraceus (garden pea). RNAcentral describes it as "Pisum sativum (pea) long non-coding RNA (PSAT_LNC008904)". The record is from RNAcentral. Lineage: Eukaryota; Viridiplantae; Streptophyta; Magnoliopsida; Fabales; Fabaceae.